Molecule: ribosomal RNA, 429 nt
Filed under: uncultured Rubrivivax sp.
Lineage: Bacteria; Pseudomonadati; Pseudomonadota; Betaproteobacteria; Burkholderiales; Sphaerotilaceae
Description: bacterial SSU rRNA
Rfam family: Bacterial small subunit ribosomal RNA
Source: RNAcentral
UGGGGAAUUUUGGACAAUGGGCGCAAGCCUGAUCCAGCCAUGCCGCGUGCGGGAAGAAGGCCUUCGGGUUGUAAACCGCUUUUGUCAGGGAAGAAAUCCUUUGAGCUAAUACCUCGGGGGGAUGACGGUACCUGAAGAAUAAGCACCGGCUAACUACGUGCCAGCAGCCGCGGUAAUACGUAGGGUGCGAGCGUUAAUCGGAAUUACUGGGCGUAAAGCGUGCGCAGGCGGUCUUGCAAGACAGGUGUGAAAUCCCCGGGCUUAACCUGGGAACUGCACUUGUGACUGCAAGGCUGGAGUACGGUAGAGGGGGAUGGAAUUCCGCGUGUAGCAGUGAAAUGCGUAGAUAUGCGGAGGAACACCGAUGGCGAAGGCAAUCCCCUGGACCUGUACUGACGCUCAUGCACGAAAGCGUGGGGAGCAAACAGG